GGGCCUUGUUGGAAAGGGCAUUGAUGGAAUUAUUGUGUAAUUUUGUAGUUAAUGAAAUUAAGAAACUUGAUUGGAAUGAACAAAUUGAAUUGCAAAUUUGAUUUUCGAUUUAUUACACUUUGAUUUUUAAUUCAUGAUUUUGAAAUGAUUUAUUUUGGCACUACACAUUAUUCAUUUUAAGAAAAUGUUGGAGCUUGAUUUAUGGACUAUUCCAUCUCAAAUGUUGCCAUCUAUUACUACAAUUAAGGUUGUAAAGAAAGACAGUUCUUGGAAAAUCCACACAUAGGUUUGGGAAAGGCAUAAUUUUAAGAGACCUUAGCUUAUAAUUUUGGGGCAAAAAUAUAAUAGAGACAUACAUAACCAAAAGCCCAGCUUGCACUAGACAACCUUCACAAUUAACAUACAAAAAAAUAG
RNAcentral lists this long non-coding RNA (414 nucleotides) under Vitis vinifera (wine grape). Its description in RNAcentral is "long non-coding RNA (VVIN_LNC002963)". The record is from RNAcentral. Lineage: Eukaryota; Viridiplantae; Streptophyta; Magnoliopsida; Vitales; Vitaceae.